Molecule: long non-coding RNA, 2765 nt
Organism: Felis catus (domestic cat)
Lineage: Eukaryota; Metazoa; Chordata; Mammalia; Carnivora; Felidae
Exons: 5
Source: RefSeq, a predicted model, not a curated record
GUUCAUCGUUUGGGGCAGUCGAGGAAGGCUUCUCGAAGGAGGUGGCAUGUGAGCUGAGGAUGAGAGGUGCUGGCCGGGGAGUGGCAGAGAAGCUUUGGACCCCCGGGCCCGAGGGGCAGGGUCUCCAGGCAAUGGCUGGGUGCGUGGCGGGCCCACGGGGCACACGUGUCCUUCAUUUCACGGGCGUCUUCCGGGGGCCACCCCGCCUCAGAGCGGGCCACCAGCACUCAUCACUCUAGCUUGCCUGCCUUUGGCUCCAAGGGACAGCGUUUUAAUCCCUCUCCUCCAGCUCUUCUGGGUCCAAGCCUGUCCUCACUCAGACAGACCCCCUGGCCGCCCGCCCUGCACCUCCUUCCCUGUUGGCGCCCUUAUCCUCGAGGGCCCAGACAGGCAGCACACGAGUGCCUGUUUCUCAGGUGGGUAAACUGAGUCUGUGCCUUCCCUGAUGCACCCAGCCGGGGGCAGCCAGCAGGGACCACGGAAGCUGCUUCUAGCUGGGGCCCUUCCAUCCCUCUGACCCGACGUCCAGGAGCGGCAGGCUGCAUCUUGCAAACCCGAGCUUCAGAAACUCGAAAUCAAGGAGGAUCUGGCUGGGGACUCUUGGGGGCUCCGUGGGCUGUUUUGUAACGACAGAGGGAGCGCCUCGCCCACACUCCGGAUCUGCCGCGCCCGCUGCCGCCCACGGACCCUGCGGAAUUAGCUCGCAAAUGGGAGGAACAGGUGACGGGCGCCUGCUCUGGGGACGUCAGCCCUCCCAUCUCACACCCGAGGCACCGAGCUGGCUGCGUCCCCGCUUUGCAAGAAAAUGACUUCCCUGCCAGAUGGGAGCAGGACGCCCACCUCCCCGCAGCUCCGGCGACAGAGCCCGCAGGAUCCCACACGGCAUGCAUUCCUGAAGCGGGGACGACAAGUGCUCCCGGUGCCCCAGUAAUUAACAGAAGGCCAUCGUCGCUGCCGUGCACCUGCUUCAGGAUGUUUUCUUCCCAUGUGCUGAAUAGAGAGGAACAUUCCAGAAUGUGGAACUUGGGGCACCUGGACCUCGAGUCUGUGGAGAGACAUUCCAGGGACGUAGCUUUCCACGUGGCAGAUCCGCAUAAUUCUGGACCGAUUCGGGGAGAAAUCUCCCAGAAGUGUUUUUCUCACUGCCCUGCCUUAAAAAACAAAAUCAAAACCCAAGCAAAACUUUACGACUUCCCAUAAACGGAGUCUCGAAAUGUCCUGUGUCUACGGGAGGCUCCACGUUGCCUCCACUCUCCUCACUGCUGAGUCGGAUCCCGAUGCGUGAAAGGUCAUAGUUCGUCGAUUUCACUUGAAGGGCAGUCUCCAAGGAACAUUCCAGUUCUGCCCAUUUUGGAUGAGUGUAUACACGCCCGGGAGGAACCUGCAGCUUAUAGGGCACCUGCGUGCCAGCCCGUUUGGAAACUGCCCUGAAGGGCGAGGCCCACGUCCUCUGCAGAGCUCCACACUCUCCCUCCCCCCUCUCAGCUCUGACGACCCUAGCAGGUACCGCACCUUGUGCGGGAGAGCUUGACAAACACCUCAGCUGCUUCUUGGUACCUGAAGGUCACGUUCGUCAGCGUUAGCCACUGCCGCCUGACGGGGACGUCAUAACCCCGAGCUUCCUGCCACGCGGCUGCUCUGCCCGCCUCUGUCUGUGUGGUUCUAGUUCUUUGAGAGGAGCGGCGCUGGACCCCAUCUGAAGCACGCACACCGUGGCGGCACCUUCGUGCGCUCACGGGUUUGCUCAUCCAGCAAACACUCACCGAGAGCCUGGCUGUGUCCAGGAUGGCCCAGGUCAUGGAUGCAAGUUAGGUCCAGCCACGGCCCUGACUUGGGGGGCACGCUGCCCAUGUGGGGAUGGGGUUGCCCUCCACUCGCUCCCCACCCACACCACAGACAGGCGCGAACCGUGUGGAACGUUCCACACCCGUUUACCAGGUGACUACCAUCCCGGCUCUCUGUGACUGCCGGGGCCAGAACUGGAAAUGCCCGGGGAAAUUUUGUGUCAGUUGGGCACACUGCUCGCCAAGCCCUGGGACCCAGAGCUGUGAGGGGCUGCACCUGGGUCCAAGCCCACCAGCUCUGCCUGCCUGGCGCAUGGCUCAGACCUGCCCUUGCGGCCCCUCGGUGCUGCCGCUCGCUCAGGACCAGAGAGAAAGGAACUGGCCCCAGGGGUCCAGAUGGAUCCUGGGGGCUGAAUGAAGAGCGAAGGAUGAUGCUGUUUGCCAGGACCGACACUGGAUGAGGGCCGAGGUCACAGGCCGCUGCUCAAGGACAAGCCUCUGUGGGAACAUCUCACGAGAUGCAGCUUCCACAGGGAGCCUCCCUGGCAGCCCGCGGAGCAGGCUGGGUCCCUGUAUGGAUUCCCAGUCUCUGCACUUGUCCUAUGUGACCCUUCAUUGCUCUCCAGAUGGACCACGGAGGCCGGAGAGGCCAGUAACCUGCCCAAAGCUGAGCAUCCCGGGAAGCCCAAGCUCCAGGCAUCAGGCAGUGUGCGUCAGGGUUCCCACUGCCCGCUUCGCCUCUGGGGACUCGGGCCGGCCCGGCCCGCCCCGUGGGCCACAAUGGCAGGGCCCACAAUGCCCGCACAGGGGCCGGCUGGUCGCGCAUACAAAGCACCCGGCCCGGCCAUUAUCAUUCCGGAGCCGAAGUCCACCCCAGCCCGCACCUCAUCGGUCAUUCAGCAGCCCUUAAUGACUUGUCAGUUCCUUGCCCUGCCAUUUUCUGUCUAAUUAAUUCUUUUAUUGUGCACCGGAUAAAGAAAG